This 415-nucleotide ribosomal RNA is filed under the name uncultured prokaryote. RNAcentral's name for it is "bacterial SSU rRNA". It matches the Rfam family "Bacterial small subunit ribosomal RNA", at positions 505 to 918 of the family's 1533-position model. The record is from RNAcentral.
GUGUCAGCAGCCGCGGUAAGACGGAGGAGGCAAGCGUUAUCCGGAAUUAUUGGGCGUAAAGGGUCCGCAGGUGGCAGUUCAAGUCUGCAGUCAAAGGUCGGGGCUCAACCCCGGAAAGGCUGUGGAAACUGAACAGCUAGAGUACGGUAGGGGCAGAGGGAAUUCCCAGUGUAGCGGUGAAAUGCGUAGAGAUUGUGAAGAACACCGGUGGCGAAAGCGCUCUGCUGGGUCUGCACUGACACUGAGGGACGAAAGCUAGGGGAGCGAAAGGGAUUAGAUACCCCUGUAGUCCUAGCUGUAAACGAUGGGUACUAGGCGUUGUCCGUAUCGACCCGGGCAGUGCCGUAGCUAACGCGUUAAGUAUCCCGCCUGGGGAGUACGCACGCAAGUGUGAAACUCAAAGGAAUUGGCGGGG